UUACCAUCAUUCAGGUUUGGGGACUCUUAGAGAGACUGCCGGUGAUAACCGGAGGAAGGUGGGAUGACGUCAAAUCAUCAUGCCCCUUAUGGCCUGGGCUACACACGUGCUACAAUGGUUGGUACAACGAGUUGCGAGUCGGUGACGGCGAGCUAAUCUCUUAAAGCCAAUCUCAGUUCGGAUUGUAGGCUGCAACUCGCCUACAUGAAGUCGGAAUCGCUAGUAAUCGCGGAUCAGCACGCCGCGGUGAAUACGUUCCCGGGCCUU
RNAcentral lists this ribosomal RNA (267 nucleotides) under uncultured Streptococcus sp. Its description in RNAcentral is "partial 16S ribosomal RNA". It matches the Rfam family "Bacterial small subunit ribosomal RNA", at positions 1115 to 1382 of the family's 1533-position model. Lineage: Bacteria; Bacillati; Bacillota; Bacilli; Lactobacillales; Streptococcaceae. The record is from RNAcentral.